RNAcentral lists this long non-coding RNA (2508 nucleotides) under Citrus maxima (pomelo). RNAcentral's name for it is "long non-coding RNA (CMAX_LNC000098)". Lineage: Eukaryota; Viridiplantae; Streptophyta; Magnoliopsida; Sapindales; Rutaceae. The record is from RNAcentral.
AAACUUCAGCUACUAGCUACCAGAGAGAACUAUGCAUUCCCAAACUGUCCAAGCCUGGACAAUUCAAGAAUUAUUAAUAGACAUAUGAUCCUCACUAUCAUCCAAAGAUGACACUAAUACAACAUGUGUCUAUUAAUAAUUUCUUAAACAAGUCUAAGCUUUCAAUGCACGUAUCAAAAGUUUAAAAUUGAAUCUGAAAUUUGAAUAACACAUAAAUAUCAUAAAUCUCUUCAAUUUAUUCCUGAAACAAUGUAGCAUUAUUUCACACGUCAUUUCUUAAGCAAAACCAUAAAAAAUACAAACGAUAAAUACAUUUUCCCACUGAUGCAGAUUAUGUUUACUGAGUAAUAAGUUUUAUGUCAUUCAUGUUGAAAUACUUCUGCCUAUUCUUUCAACAUAUAACUAGUACGUACACACAAUUAAUAAAUUUAAAAAAAAAAACUGGUGGUGAAUCUUGCAAAAUCUUCCUUUUUUCUUUUUUUUUUCUUUUUCUUCUUUUUUUUGGGGGGGGGGGGUGUGUUGGGGGAACUAUGAAUCUUGCAAAUCCUCAAGAAGCCAUGUUAAGACAAGGCCAGCUUACUAUUAGGGUAUGAAAGAUAAAACCUUUUAUUUCCUUUUCAGAAUAAAAAGGACAUUGACAGUGUUAAAAAAAAUCUAGAGGAUUUCAGGCCUCCAGAUCCUUACAAAUCAAGGAUAUUAAAAAAAAUUACUUAAGAGGAGAAAGGUUAUGCUCAUUUGUAUCUUGUUAGAAGAAAUUGAUCCAAAGCCUCAGUUUUAAUUUGCUUCAUAUAGCCAAUGACUAGGUGUUUAAAAACCAAUGAAUAUUUUUAUAAGAAAUCAACAAUAUUAUUGAAAGAAAAACCAAAUAAAAAUAAUAAAGCCAAUGAAUAGAUCAAGGCUCUUUGUGGUCUAAAACUAAUCAAACUAAGUUGUGGGCAAAGGCGAAUAUGUUUGUUUGGUCAAUAAUAAGCUCAACAAAUCACUAAUAAUCACCUAAUCACUAUUCCUUAUGCUAUGCAAUAUAAUGGCCUGGGUAAUGGCGCCAAGGCAGACAAUAAGUAGCUAGCCAGUUAUGAUAGUUGAUUAACUUAACCUACUGGAAAUCUGAAGACCAAAACGAAGAAGCUUUGUCUAGAACUAGAAUAGGAACGUUCGUACCCAAAACUAAUAUACACAAUUAAGAAACUUGAUUAUAUGUAUAUUUCUGUUGGCCACACUUAAAGAGAAUUUCCAAAAGAUGCUAAGGUACACCAAAUCCCACUAUUUCAUACUCAUAAACACAAAAAACCAUGGUAAAAAUUAAUGACUAUAUCAAAUAAAAUCGGUGAUAGGACGUUGAGAUUAGGACAACUUGAUUUGUAUACCGUAAAAUAACUAUAUCUGCAUGGUGAACUAUAUUUCUGUUAGAACUCUGAAGUUUUCUAUUAAAUUUUUUUCUCUGUUAGGUAAACCACUUAACUGAAGUGCUUAAGCCAAUUUUGACAAUCAUAGACAUAAAAGUAUUAAUAGGCUCAUUCAAGUGAAAUGAGCAUUAUUUCACACAUCCUUUAGGUUUUUAAGUCAUUUAGAAGUCAUUCAUGUUAAAAAAAAAAAAUUCAUAUACUUUCAAUAUAAUUAGAACAUACACAAUUAAUUAAUUAAAUAAAUCUGUUUCAGCUAGUAUAGGAACUUAAUUAAUCAAAGCUAGUAGUUAUAGCUAGGACUUGAACGAGGCACCUUUCAAAGUUCAAGAAGAGCAUCUGAACAUAAUGAAAGCACUUUCUAGAUAUGGUAAUGAUGCUUUACAUCUACAUGCUCUUACACAAUAUGAACUUUCAUUUACUCCAAGCUCUUAUUCUACAAGUCAAUUCAGUUUGUAGAUGCAAGCCAUUGUAAAAACUUUUGUAUUAUAAUUUCUGAAAAUAGAACGUAACAUUAUUAAUAUAGAAUCAGCAAUGUAUAUAACUUAUCAGACAAUAUAACAAGCACUUGGUGAGCAUACAAGAUAAACUAAAAUUUAAUAAUAUGUGGAAUUAAAGAUAAACUAAAAUUUAUGUUUAAACAUAAAUUUAAAGCAAAUCGAAUUGCAAAACAUUAGAAUGGAUGUUGGAAUUAAAGCUAAAUUCAAUAGUAAUUCAAAUGAAUCCAUUUGAACUUUGUAAAUUCCGCAGAACAAAAUUAAUUUGAGUGAGCAAACUCACCAAUGGAACAAGAACACAGGGGCUUCAACUUGUAGGAAUAAAAAAAUAUUGCUGGCGGGACAAAAAUUGACAAUAACGGCUACAAUACGAAUUAAAAAAAAAAUCAAAAUCUAUAAUUACAAGCUAAGUAAGAGAAGAAACUCAUAAUCACAAGCUUACCUCAAAAGAUGAAGGGAGAAUACGAUGAAGAAGAAGAUGCCCGGUGUUUUACGCCGUUCGCCGGCAACCAGUUAGGUUUACGAUGGUGGCUAGUCCAGCGAAUAGUUUUCUAACUGGAAAUAAAUUUAAAUUUCUAAAAUAGUACUAUACCGAACGGCUCUUCACCGUC